CGCCCCUUUCUGACGACAUAUGCCCGGUCUCCUAGGCCCCCACGGGUGCCCGGGAGAAGCUCACUUAGUGCCCCAUGAAGGCCAGCACCGGGGGUGGUGGAGAGCUUGACACCAUGCCUCCCCCUAUAGAGCAUAUCUGGCUUACAUGAAACAUUUGGGAGGAAACAUCAAAAUAGCCGAGGAGACUAAUUGUCCAUAACUAAUUCACAGAAAAUCCAAAUGACAUACCGUCAAGUGCGUUGAACUCUUUUCGACGUUCCGGAUAUUUCUCGUGUUUUGAGUUUUUCCAAAUUCCAAGCCGAAGUACCUCGAACCCGAACUUCCACUUAAUUACGACAAUGCCACUCGUCCUCACUUUAGCUUCAAGCUCGCCCUUGGGCUUUCAAGGCUCGCACCCGCUCGGCAUUUCCCUCACAAAGUGUCACGAUAGCACUACUCUUAAGUGCGGAUCG
Molecule: long non-coding RNA, 452 nt
Filed under: Rosa chinensis
Lineage: Eukaryota; Viridiplantae; Streptophyta; Magnoliopsida; Rosales; Rosaceae
Description: sRNA RchiOBHm_Chr2g0136081
Source: RNAcentral